Molecule: ribosomal RNA, 460 nt
Filed under: uncultured bacterium
Lineage: Bacteria
Description: partial 16S ribosomal RNA
Rfam family: Bacterial small subunit ribosomal RNA
Source: RNAcentral
CCUACGGGUGGCAGCAGUGAGGAAUAUUGGUCAAUGGGCGCAAGCCUGAACCAGCCAAGUCGCGUGAGGGAUGACGGUCCUAUGGAUUGUAAACCUCUUUUGUCGGGGAGCAAGGCCCGCCACUUGUGGCAGGAAGGAGAGUACCCGAAGAAAAAGCAUCGGCUAACUCCGUGCCAGCAGCCGCGGUAAAACGGAGGAUGCGAGCGUUAUCCGGUUUUAUUGGGUUUAAAGGGUGCGUAGGCGGAAGGUUAAGUCAGCGGUAAAAGGUCGGUGCUCAACACCGGCCUGCCGUUGAAACUGGUCUUCUUGAGUGAGCGAGAAGUAUGAGGAAUGCGUGGUGUAGCGGUGAAAUGCAUAGAUAGCACGCAGAACUCCGAUUGCGAAGGCAGCAUACCGGCGCUCAACUGACGCUGAGGCACGAAAGCGUGGGUAUCGAACAGGAUUAGAUACCCGAGUAGUC